CCAGCUUGGUGGCUCAGUGGAUAGAGAGACAGGCCUAGAGAAGGGAAGUUCUGGGUUCAAAUAUAGCCUCAGACAGCUGUUUGAUCCUGGGCAAGUCACUUAAUUCCAAUUGUCAAGCCCUUACUGCUCCUCUGCCUUGGAGCUGAUAUUUAGCAUCAAUUCUAAGACAGAAGAUAAGGGUGUGUAUAUAUAAACGUGUAUUUAUAUAUAUACACACUAUACACUAAUAUACAUAUAUGCUAUACACUAAUAUAGCAUAUGCACUAUAUAUACAAUAUACACUAAGUCAUAUGCUUAAGUAUAUGCAUAUGAUUUAGCAACUGAUUGGAUAUGGGGAGCAAGAAAGAGUGGAGGCCAUGGUGACAUCUAAGUUGCAAGCCAAGUUGACUGUGAGGAUGGUGGUAAUCCCAAAAGAAAUAAGAAAGAGGGCAACUAGAUGACCCAGUGGAUAGAGAGUGAAGCUUGGAGAUGGGGGUCUUGGAUUCAAAUGUGGCCUCAAACACUUCCUAGCUGGGUGACCUGAGUGAGUCACUUAAUCCUAAUUGCCUAGCCCUUAUGGAUCUUCUGCCUUGGAACCAAUACUUAGUAUCAAUUCUAAGACAGAAAAUCAAGAUUUUUUUUUAAAGUAAAAAACGAAGAGGAGAAGGUUUGGGGAAAAGAUAAUCUAAGAUUAGAAAAUCUAAUCUCAAUAACUUGAGUUUAAGAUAUUUAAGAGACAUGUUUCAUGGUGACUAAUAAGUGGUUGGAGAUUUGAGAGUGGAGACCAGGGAAAAGGUUAGAGCUAGACCAUUAAAUCUAAGAAAAAUAUAUGUAAAGACAGUAAUAGAAACAAUGAGAGCUAAUGAGAUCACCUUUUAAAAUAGAUACACACACAUAUUUAAAGAUUAGGUUUCUCUAUUUUCUUGACGUUGGAAGUACAGAAGCUAAUCACAUUCCCCAUCACAGUCUGAUCAACAUAGGAGUUUUGAGCUGCUUCAUUUCUCCCUGGGCAAUUUUGCCCCCUCCUUAGGAAAUCUGUUACCCCCCAAGCCCUACACCCAGGCAUUCUGCAUAUGAAUGCUGAACUUAGUGCAAUUUCCAGGUCAGCUUAGCACAGUGUAGCUUAGAACUUCCAAACUCAAGAAAUUCACCAGCCUCAUCCAUUCUUCAUAGGUAUACAUCAUCAUACCUGGUUUAGGCACAUAUUUUAAAUGCUAGAAAAUUCUGCUCUCUGUAGCUUAUUGAUACAUAUUUUGUAGUAAGCCAAAUCACACGUGCUACAGGAAAUGUAUGGUCCACCUAGUGGACAGUGACAAAUGAGGGCAGUUUUCCAGUCAGACCUAGAUGCUUUGUCACAGCUCUAUAUACACUCCCAAACAAACUUUGGUUGUUGUUGUUGCUGUUGAGUUGUUCAGUUGUGCCUGAGUCCCAUUGGCCAUAGCACACCAAGUCCUUUUAUCCUCCACUAUCUCUUGAAGUCUUCCUGAAAAUCAUAUUCAUUGGUGCCAUGACACUGUCUAGCCAUCUUGUUCUCAGCCAUUCUAUUUCUUUUGCCUUCAGUCUUUCCCAACACCAGGGUCUUUUCCAGUGAGUAAGUCUUGUCUUCUCAUUACAUGGCCAGAGUAAGCUUCAGCUUCCAUAUUUAACCUUCCUGUGAAUUUAUAGUUUGAAUUUAUUUCAGAGAAACUACAAAAACAAACUACAAAUGUCCUUUGUGUCCAGUUUAUGUAUUCACCUACCUAGGCUUUGAAGACUAAGUGGCAACUCCCUGGAAAGUUGGAGAGAGUAGUCAGAGGGAAGUGGGAUUAAGUUGACUUGGUUCGUAUCUCUGAGAAUCCAUAGAAUAUAGUGUGACAUUGGACCACUUUGUCGUAAUCUGUGUCACCCGGAAUUCAGGCAACAAGACUAUCUCACCACAUGGAGAGAACAUGACUGAGAGAGUCUAGACUAUUCUGUGUAUGUAUGUGUGUGUGUGUGUGCGUGCGUGUGUGUGUGUAUGAAAACACAGCACAGUUUGUAAGGAUGAAACUGAAUUAAACUCUCUAUGAAUGAUUGUCUCCUGGCAUAUAUGGAGCAUUGCAUCCACAAGAUUUUAAAAAUCUAAUUUGUUUUCUACAUAAACGAGAAUAUUUUGAGCUCUAACCAGAUCAAUUUUGCUGUUAUUCAAUUUGUUUCCUAGAAUUCUUAUCAUCCUGACAUUCAUCAGUGAAAGGAUCUUACUGUAACCAAAUAUAGUCCAUGAAUAUGAUAUUAUGAAUCCUAGGUUAACCUAAGCAGCAGCAUCAGUGCCCUACUUUUGACAGCAUAUAAAGGAAAAGACAUAAUCCAGAGAGAAUCUAAUUUAAUAUACCAAAAUCUGAAUUUAGGGGCUAUAAAUUGUGAGUGAUUAAAAAAAGACUUUCCAAAAGGGUUCACCAUAACUUUUUUACAACCAAUUCCCCAAAUACAGUUUAGUAUCUGGAGUAACAAUACCUUACAUCUGCAUAGGAUUUGACAGUUUGCAAAUUUUUCAAGAACAAAAUUUCAUUUGAAUCUUAGAAUAAUCCUGUGCAGUAGACAGGAUAGAUAUUAUUACGAAGAAGGAAGCUAGGAAGCAUAGUGGAGAGAAUGCCAGGCCUGGAGUCAGGAAGACUCAUCUUUAAGAUUUCAAAUGUGAUCUUAGGCAUUUCCUAGCUAUGUGACAGUGGACAAGUCACUUAACUCUGAUUUCUUUAGUUUCCUCAUCUGUAAUGUGAACUGUAGAAGGAAAUGGUAAAAUAAGAAAACUCCAAAUUGGGGCAUCUGGGUAGCUCAGUAGAUUGAGAGCAGACAUAGAGAUGGGAAAUCCUAAAUUCAAAUCUGGCCUUAGACAUUUCCUAGCUGUGGGAUCCUGGGCAAGUCACUUAACUCCCAUUGUCUAGCCUUAUGUGUAAUUGGAAAUCUUGUGUCUUUUGUGAAUUUUAGAUUUACUCCACCCUGCUUAGUCUUUAGAAUUUUAGCAACCAGGAAUGUAUACACCCCUAUUUAAGGAUUAAGUGUUGGAGAGGAUAGUCUGUGACUUGUGUGUGCUAGCAAUUGACAAAUCAGAAACAACUGACUGACCCCUUGGGCUGUCCUAAGCCAAGUUUAAGCCACCAUUGGUACAUGUGAGACACAGAAAGUGAUGCAAAGAACUGCCUUUUUAUUUCAUGUCACUUCCUGUGAGAGGGACUUUUGCGGCUUUUUGAGGUGGUUCUUGAUUUAUAGGGCUGCAGUGUGGAGACCUGAGACUGCUUCCCUUAGGAGACCACAUGAAGGGACCAAGGACCUUUCAGUACUGCUCAUGCUCAAGCCCCAGCUGAUCCAUCCUCAGCCUCAGUUCCCAAGCUGCUCUUGCCUGCAUCAGUGUAAGGUAGAUUCUUCAAUCAACUGAUGGAAUUGUAGGGUACGUGGAUGUUGGCUGGCUAAAGAGUCAGCAGCUUUUCUUCCUGUUCUUAAAAGCCAAGGUAAACUCUAAGGAGAGAAUCUUCAUUUCCAAUGAAAAAGAAAAUGGAGAAAAGAGGAAAUUGCUUUUUUCCUUUUUCCCUCGAGUCUCUUUCAGAGUUCAGUUGCUUUCUCCCUCCUCUCUCUCCUUACCAAGAGCAGUGUCCUACACUGGAGCAAUUCACCCAAUAGAAGAGUCCACAGCCAGCAGAAAGUGGACCUUGAGAGUACAGCUACUAUAAAAUCUAGCUAUGGAAAAGAACAGGCUCAGGAAGCCCAGCAGUUGACCUGUCCAGGAGAGUGGCCAAACUCAGGAGGAGCAGUAUGAAAACAUCAUUAUGCAUCAGUAUCAAAAAGCAUCAGUACCCUAUUGGAGAAGGAGCAACAUUUGCUACUAAUAUGGUCAGGCACACAGUGGACCUUGUUGCAUAGCUAGAAAAUCACCCAGCAUGCUCUGAGCUUCACAAAAUUUAGAAUUCAAGAGUAGGAAUAUUCUGGGAGCUAUCAGGCCACAACGCCUUGACAGAGUCAUGCAUGGUAGUUAAGGAGGCCACAGAGUGGCCCUUGGAAAGAUGUGAUUGCUCACUCAGUCCCCCUUGCAUGACCUCUCUCAUUAAUAUCUCUUACCUAUGAAGUUGACAUGAUUACUAUUCCCCCUAGUCUCAAAAGGAAUAAUGCAAAAGCAAAAAAACCUGUACCCUAAUUCUCCAAAACAUCACCAAAAUAUCAGACCCUCAAGCCCAAUCCCAAAAGACUACCAUGGGUUAACUUUUACUUAGACAAAUAAUUCCCAGUAAAACCACAGCUACUGGGCAAGCCCAAAGCAUUCCCACUCACAGAAACUUAUUCUCAUGAAGCCAAUACACAAAUCAAUCAUAAAGGCCCAUACAAAAUGUACAGGUACACUAAGCUUCAAUAUACCUCAGUUACUCGACUUUACAAACCAGUAAUUUGCCAGUGGGAAACUCCCUAGUAAACCCUGAGAAAUGAUUGGUCUAAUAUUAAAUUUUGUUCCCAGUACCUCUCAACCUCAAUGAUACAACUGCUGAAUUGUCUUUUAAGAACUUCUGAUUAAUUAUUCCAUUUUAUUAAAAGUAAUAAGUAAAUUUCCUUGAUUAUUUGUAAACUCAAAACUUCUCACAGGGUAAUGAGAAAAUUGAGCCACGUGUGACAAAAUCAUUUAUCUUGUAUGCUGUCUGUAAUCACAAUAUAAGAAUAUAGAAUGUUAAUCAAGUGAUUUCUUAAGAGUUAAUGUAUCACUUUUCCAAUUAUCUCCAUUUAGACAUGUGUGUUAGAUAAUGUAUCUGUGUGCCAAGAAAAUGGGUAUAAAAAUAAACACCAGGCCUGGGAAUGGAAGAACAGCUAUCAGAUGCAAAGCAGUCCCAUGGCCAUAAGGAUUAA
Molecule: long non-coding RNA, 4821 nt
Organism: Monodelphis domestica (gray short-tailed opossum)
Lineage: Eukaryota; Metazoa; Chordata; Mammalia; Didelphimorphia; Didelphidae
Source: RefSeq, a predicted model, not a curated record